This 52-nucleotide small RNA is filed under the name Rhodoblastus acidophilus. Its description in RNAcentral is "ffh sRNA". It matches the Rfam family "ffh sRNA". Lineage: Bacteria; Pseudomonadati; Pseudomonadota; Alphaproteobacteria; Hyphomicrobiales; Rhodoblastaceae. The record is from Rfam by way of RNAcentral.
GACGCGGGAGGUCCCCGUCCGGCAGCGCCAUGCGCCCCCGGGCGCGUUUUGC